Molecule: transfer-messenger RNA, 358 nt
Filed under: Candidatus Rokubacteria bacterium 13_1_40CM_4_69_5
Lineage: Bacteria; Candidatus Rokuibacteriota
Also listed under: 1 other name
Rfam family: transfer-messenger RNA
About the family: Bacterial tmRNA, also known as 10Sa RNA or SsrA, is named for its dual tRNA and mRNA-like properties. Its role is to liberate the mRNA from a stalled ribosome. To accomplish this part of the tmRNA is used as a reading frame that ends in a translation stop signal.
Source: RNAcentral
GGGGGCGACAGGUUUCGACGGGAGCCAGUGAGGUCCAGGCUGCGUCUCGAGGUUUCUCUCCCCUCGUUAAUAAGAGAGAACGGUAUAGCUGCCGACACACAGCUAGCUCUGGCGGCCUAACACCCGCCAGCGUCCGCCGGGUUGAGCCCUCAGGGCCCGGGAACGGACGUCAUACUCUGGUGGCUGGCUCCGAACCUCGCCUCAGGGGAGGAGCGAGAACCAUGAGGCUGGCCCCGCGCCUGUCCUGCCGGCUGGAGGGGUGCCGGGGCGAGAGAGCAGCAAGAUAGACCGGCUAUCGGCGUAGACGCCUGCGGCUGAGGGUUUCCGGACGUGGGUUCAAUUCCCACCGCCUCCACCA